This 75-nucleotide transfer RNA is filed under the name bioreactor metagenome. Its description in RNAcentral is "tRNA-Thr". It matches the Rfam family "tRNA". From Rfam's summary of the family: Transfer RNA (tRNA) molecules are approximately 80 nucleotides in length. The record is from RNAcentral.
AGCCGAGAUAGCUCACCAGGCAGAGCGGCGCACUCGUAAUGCGCAGGUACCGGGUUCGAUUCCCGGUCUCGGCUU